Non-coding RNA from Neophaeococcomyces mojaviensis, 78 nucleotides. Lineage: Eukaryota; Fungi; Ascomycota; Eurotiomycetes; Chaetothyriales. The record is from the annotation of a GenBank genome assembly.
GGUAGCUCAGUGGUAGAGCAGCGGAUUGCAGUUUAUGCAGCUUUCCGAAGGUCAUCAGUUCAAUCCUGGUCUGCUCCU